UACGAAGGGGGCUAGCGUUGCUCGGAAUCACUGGGCGUAAAGCGCACGUAGGCGGAUCGUUAAGUCGGAGGUGAAAUCCUGGAGCUCAACUCCAGAACUGCCUUCGAUACUGGCGAUCUUGGAGUCCGGGAGAGGUGAGUGGAACUGCGAGUGUAGAGGUGAAAUUCGUAGAUAUUCGCAAGAACACCAGUGGCGAAGGCGGCUCACUGGCCCGAUACUGACGCUGAGGCACGAAAGCGUGGGAGCAAACAGG
This 253-nucleotide ribosomal RNA is filed under the name uncultured bacterium. RNAcentral describes it as "partial 16S ribosomal RNA". It matches the Rfam family "Bacterial small subunit ribosomal RNA", at positions 524 to 776 of the family's 1533-position model. The record is from RNAcentral.